This 555-nucleotide long non-coding RNA is filed under the name Homo sapiens (human). Its description in RNAcentral is "non-protein coding lnc-SLC38A10-2:1". Lineage: Eukaryota; Metazoa; Chordata; Mammalia; Primates; Hominidae. The record is from RNAcentral.
GGGGGGCUGCGGAUUCACCCCUGUGGGAAAUGGCACCUCAUCAUGGUAGGGGCUCUUGUUCCCUUUCAGCUCCCGAUUCUCCUGAAGGGGACGUCCGAUGAUGAUGUCCCGUGUCCGGGCUACCUGUUUGAAGAGAUUGCUAAAAUCUCCCACGAGUCUCCGGGCAGCAGCCAGUGCCUGCUGGAGUACCUCCUGAGCCGCCUGCACAGCAGCUCCGGCCACGGGAAGCUCAAGGUGAGCCCCUGGGUGGUCAAGGGUCAGGCCUGAGGCCCGGCCCACGGUGGUGAGGAUGGAGGAGCAGACGAGCGGCCCAGGGUGGCAGGCAGCUCUGUGCCCUUGGGGUGCCCCCGGGCCCUGCCCUGGGUGUCCCGUGUCCGGCCUGCCCAGCACUGCUGACCGCCCCACUCCCCAGGUGCUGAAGAUCCUGCUCUAUCUGUGCAGCCACGGCUCCUCCUUCUUCCUGCUCAUCCUCAAACGCAACUCUGCCUUCAUCCAGGAAGCUGCAGGUACAGGGGCCGCGCACGCGCUCAGGAAGAGCCAGGGCUUUGGAGAAUG